GAUGAACGCUGGCGGCGUGCCUAAUACAUGCAAGUCGAGCGAACGGACGAGAAGCUUGCUUCUCUGAUGUUAGCGGCGGACGGGUGAGUAACACGUGGAUAACCUACCUAUAAGACUGGGAUAACUUCGGGAAACCGGAGCUAAUACCGGAUAAUAUUUUGAACCGCAUGGUUCAAAAGUGAAAGACGGUCUUGCUGUCACUUAUAGAUGGAUCCGCGCUACAUUGGCUAGUUGGUAAGGUAACGGCUUACCAAGGCAACGAUGCAUAGCCGACCUGAGAGGGUGAUCGGCCACACUGGAACUGAGACACGGUCCAGACUCCUACGGGAGGCAGCAGUAGGGAAUCUUCCGCAAUGGGCGAAAGCCUGACGGAGCAACGCCGCGUGAGUGAUGAAGGUCUUCGGAUCGUAAAACUCUGUUAUUAGGGAAGAACAUAUGUGUAAGUAACUGUGCACAUCUUGACGGUACCUAAUCAGAAAGCCACGGCUAACUACGUGCCAGCAGCCGCGGUAAUACGUAGGUGGCAAGCGUUAUCCGGAAUUAUUGGGCGUAAAGCGCGCGUAGGCGGUUUUUUAAGUCUGAUGUGAAAGCCCACGGCUCAACCGUGGAGGGUCAUUGGAAACUGGAAAACUUGAGUGCAGAAGAGGAAAGUGGAAUUCCAUGUGUAGCGGUGAAAUGCGCAGAGAUAUGGAGGAACACCAGUGGCGAAGGCGACUUUCUGGUCUGUAACUGACGCUGAUGUGCGAAAGCGUGGGGAUCAAACAGGAUUAGAUACCCUGGUAGUCCACGCCGUAAACGAUGAGUGCUAAGUGUUAGGGGGUUUCCGCCCCUUAGUGCUGCAGCUAACGCAUUAAGCACUCCGCCUGGGGAGUACGACCGCAAGGUUGAAACUCAAAGGAAUUGACGGGGACCCGCACAAGCGGUGGAGCAUGUGGUUUAAUUCGAAGCAACGCGAAGAACCUUACCAAAUCUUGACAUCCUUUGACAACUCUAGAGAUAGAGCCUUCCCCUUCGGGGGACAAAGUGACAGGUGGUGCAUGGUUGUCGUCAGCUCGUGUCGUGAGAUGUUGGGUUAAGUCCCGCAACGAGCGCAACCCUUAAGCUUAGUUGCCAUCAUUAAGUUGGGCACUCUAAGUUGACUGCCGGUGACAAACCGGAGGAAGGUGGGGAUGACGUCAAAUCAUCAUGCCCCUUAUGAUUUGGGCUACACACGUGCUACAAUGGACAAUACAAAGGGCAGCGAAACCGCGAGGUCAAGCAAAUCCCAUAAAGUUGUUCUCAGUUCGGAUUGUAGUCUGCAACUCGACUACAUGAAGCUGGAAUCGCUAGUAAUCGUAGAUCAGCAUGCUACGGUGAAUACGUUCCCGGGUCU
This 1372-nucleotide ribosomal RNA is filed under the name uncultured bacterium. RNAcentral describes it as "bacterial SSU rRNA". It matches the Rfam family "Bacterial small subunit ribosomal RNA", at positions 28 to 1381 of the family's 1533-position model. The record is from RNAcentral.